Molecule: ribosomal RNA, 253 nt
Filed under: uncultured bacterium
Lineage: Bacteria
Description: partial 16S ribosomal RNA
Rfam family: Bacterial small subunit ribosomal RNA
Source: RNAcentral
UACGUAGGGUGCAAGCGUUGUCCGGAAUUAUUGGGCGUAAAGAGCUCGUAGGCGGUCUGUCGCGUCGGAUGUGAAAAUCCAGGGCUCAACCCUGGACCUGCAUUCGAUACGGGCAGACUAGAGUUCGGGAGAGGGAAGCGGAAUUCCGGGUGUAGCGGUGAAAUGCGUAGAUAUCCGGAGGAAUACCGGUGGCGAAGGCGGCAUCCUGGACCGACAUUGACGCUGAACGGCGAAAGCUAGGGGAGCAAACGGG